This 398-nucleotide long non-coding RNA is filed under the name Brassica napus (rape). RNAcentral's name for it is "long non-coding RNA (BNAP_LNC011347)". Lineage: Eukaryota; Viridiplantae; Streptophyta; Magnoliopsida; Brassicales; Brassicaceae. The record is from RNAcentral.
AAAAUCCGUCUGCCUCCACCGUGAAGCUUUUCUGCUUCCUCCGCCAUUAAGCUUUUCUGCCUCGUCAUCCACGUUCCGCCACCGCUCCUCCAUGCUCGCCACCGGCGACCACUGAUUCGUCACGCCACCACUGCCGACUCAUCACAUCACCACUUUCUCAGAUCAGGAAAAUAAAAAAAAACAUUAAUAAAUUUUAAAACAGAGGAGUGUAAGAGAAGAAACAAAAUACAUAAAUCUCACCAACGAUUGUUGAUGCUUGCUCUGUCUUUUUUUCAUUGAGGAGAUGAGAAGAAGAGAAAUAGAAGAGACGAUGAGAGAGGAGAAGAGGAAGCAUGAAGUCUCGACAGGGACGAGAAGGAAGAAAAAGAUAAAGAAAAUAUUAAAUCAAAUACAUUAAU